GACGAACGCUGGCGGCGUGCUUAACACAUGCAAGUCGAACGGAAAGGCCCUGCUUUUGUGGGGUGCUCGAGUGGCGAACGGGUGAGUAACACGUGAGUAACCUGCCCUUGACUUUGGGAUAACUUCAGGAAACUGGGGCUAAUACCGGAUAGGAGCUCCUGCUGCAUGGUGGGGGUUGGAAAGUUUCGGCGGUUGGGGAUGGACUCGCGGCUUAUCAGCUUGUUGGUGGGGUAGUGGCUUACCAAGGCUUUGACGGGUAGCCGGCCUGAGAGGGUGACCGGCCACAUUGGGACUGAGAUACGGCCCAGACUCCUACGGGAGGCAGCAGUCGGGAAUCUUGCACAAUGGGCCGAAGCCUGAUGCAGCAACGCCGCGUGCGGGAUGACGGCCUUCUGGUUGUAAACCGCUUUCGCCUGUGACGAAGCGUGAGUGACGGUAAUGGGUAAAGAAGCACCGGCUAACUACGUG
RNAcentral lists this ribosomal RNA (468 nucleotides) under uncultured bacterium. Its description in RNAcentral is "partial 16S ribosomal RNA". It matches the Rfam family "Bacterial small subunit ribosomal RNA", at positions 28 to 507 of the family's 1533-position model. The record is from RNAcentral.